GACGAACGCUGGCGGCGUGCUUAACACAUACAAGUCGAGCGGUAAGGCCCUUUCGGGGGUACACGAGCGGCGAACGGGUGAGUAACACGUGGGUGACCUGCCCUCAGCUCUGGGAUAAGCCUGGGAAACCGGGUCUAAUACUGGAUAUGACUCCAUGACGCAUGUUGUGGGGUGGAAAGCCUUGUGCGGCUGAGGAUGGGCCCGCGGCCUAUCAGCUUGUUGGUGGGGUGAUGGCCUACCAAGGCGACGACGGGUAGCCGGCCUGAGAGGGCGACCGGCCACACUGGGACUGAGACACGGCCCAGACUCCUACGGGAGGCAGCAGUGGGGAAUCUUGCGCAAUGGGCGAAAGCCUGACGCAGCGACGCCGCGUGAGGGAUGACGGCCU
This 388-nucleotide ribosomal RNA is filed under the name uncultured bacterium. RNAcentral describes it as "bacterial SSU rRNA". It matches the Rfam family "Bacterial small subunit ribosomal RNA", at positions 28 to 417 of the family's 1533-position model. The record is from RNAcentral.